GACAUAGGGUGCGAACGUUGUUCGGAAUUACUGGGCGUAAAGCGCGCGUAGGCGGAUCUGCAAGUCGGGGGUGAAAUCCCGAGGCUCAACCUCGGAACUGCCUUCGAUACUGCGGGUCUCGAGUCCGGGAGAGGUGAGUGGAAUUCCUAGUGUAGAGGUGAAAUUCGUAGAUAUUAGGAAGAACACCAGUGGCGAAGGCGGCUCACUGGCCCGGUACUGACGCUGAGGCGCGAAAGCGUGGGGAGCAAACAGG
Molecule: ribosomal RNA, 253 nt
Filed under: uncultured bacterium
Lineage: Bacteria
Description: partial 16S ribosomal RNA
Rfam family: Bacterial small subunit ribosomal RNA
Source: RNAcentral